AUGCUAUGUGUAAAAUUUAUGUGACACAUAAACAUUGAAAUUUUAAUUAUUGAUCAACAUUUAUUUUACCAAAAUUUCGAUGUCUACAAAUGCCCCCACUUCAAGGCGCGUCGUAUACAUGUGCUUGUCACGUGUAGAAGAUGCGUUUCGAAGUCCCUUACUGCAGAUGUUGAUCCAAGGGCCGUUGAGGCUUGAUCUUGAACUGGGUUGGUGAUUUCUUCAAGGGCCGUUGGGGCUUGAUCUUGAACUUUGUUUGAAAUUUCUUCAAAGACCGUUGAGGCUUGAUCUUGAAGGUUGAAAUUGGACCACAAAGAGCUUCAUGUGGUAGAUGAUCUUUUGCUUUGGUAGUGGGUGAAUCGGUACGUAUUUUGUUGCGCUUGUUGACUUUCCAUAGCUUUGAUCUUGAACUGUUUGGGAGGAUUUUAUGGUUUCCUCCAAUUGUUGACUUUCCACAGGCUUAUUCUUGAACUGGGUUGGAGGGUUUUUUGGUUUCCUCCAAGGGACUUUCCACAGACUUAAUCUUGAACUAGAUUUAAUUCAAGGGUGGUGGACACUUGAUCUUGAAUCGGACUUGUAAU
RNAcentral lists this long non-coding RNA (578 nucleotides) under Malus domestica (apple). RNAcentral's name for it is "long non-coding RNA (MDOM_LNC008228)". Lineage: Eukaryota; Viridiplantae; Streptophyta; Magnoliopsida; Rosales; Rosaceae. The record is from RNAcentral.